Molecule: non-coding RNA, 45 nt
Filed under: Schistosoma mattheei
Lineage: Eukaryota; Metazoa; Platyhelminthes; Trematoda; Strigeidida; Schistosomatidae
Source: RNAcentral
GUACAACUGACGAGUCCCGAACAGGACGAAACACACGUCCUGUAU